UGGCCUCAAGCCAUCCACCCGCCUCGGCCUCCCAAAGUGCCGAGAUUACAGGCGUGAGCCACUGUGCCGGCCCAUAUCUAUCGUUUAUGACACUGAAACUGGUAUUGUGAGUUCUUUUGUUGUAUGGUGUCCUGAGUCAGGGACUGGAGAGGGAGGGUCACAGGACAACAGGAAAUGUGUGUGUGUGUGUGUCUGUGUGUGUCUGUGACCUGUGAUAUGAUCUCACACUGUGUUCUCCUGUUCAGGUGUCUGUUAGAAUCGGGUUGAGGGGAGUGAGGGAGGGUGGAAGUCUGGCGGGGAGCAGCGCUGAUGCUUGUUUUGGACCCUGGCAGGGCUGGAGAGAGAUCUUGGAGAUAAAAGAGACCCGAGAUAGGGGGAGAGUCUGAGAGUGGGGAGGAAGAUGUCUUGAGAAUAGGUAAGCCAGAUUUCAGGCUGGAGAAGGCAGAAUGUGAGUUUGGUCAGAAAUGUCCAUGGGCGCUGGCUAGAGGAGGCAGCAGACAGUUAGGGAGGAAGCUCUGGAGUUUAGGAGGGAGUGGGGAGGCCAGUGGAUUGGGCCUGUCUUGCUGCCUGCUUAUUUAGUGUUUGGUGAUGGGGAAGCAGGAUUUUAUUUUUUCCUUUUUACUGGAAUUUGGCCAGAUUAAGCUCUAGGACUGCCCUGGACAUAUGGCUUCUCCAAACCCUGGGACCAGCCAAAGCUUCUUAUGUGGGGUCACCCCAGCCAGCCCCAUGGCCCUGUUCUUCACAUGGCUACCUUAUCUGGGACCACAUUUCCAAUGGGUCUCUGAUCUAGAAAGCUGGAAUUAUCCAGAGAGGCUCUGGAUCAAGGGGGUAGGGCAUGUCUCUGCCAACAUGGGACUUACUUUCUGCCUCUUUAAGAUGUCAGCUCCACCAGGCCUCACGACUUCUUCUUGUCCACUCCUCUAUCCUGGGCACAUUGUGGACACACGGUAAAUGUCUGCUGAGUGAACGAGCCAAGAUCUGAGGGGAUUCCCUAGGGUGGGAAGAGCCACGCAUCUUCUCUACAGCCCCAAGGGCAGAAGGCUGACCGUCCCACGGAAGCUAACGAGGGAUGGAUUUGACCCUACAUCAGAAAGGGCCUUGACCAGCCAGAGCUCCUGAGAGCAUCCUGUCACCUGAGCUGACCAUGCUGGGGCCAGGGGUGGACCCGGAAUGACCCUGUGGAAAAAUGAUUUGCUUCAAGGCAGAACUGAAGGGCCCCUGAGGGUCCUUGCAGCCACCGUGUCCAGAACCAGGCUUCUGGGUCUCAUUGUGCUCGCCUUCACCAGACACUCCCCACAGGGAAAGUUCAUCUAACCAUGUGCUUAGAGGCUCCAGGGCAGAACUCUCUCCCACCAAGCGACUGUCUCAGAGAUAUCAGUCAAUGUGCAACCCAAAGUAUGCCCACUACGAAACUCUCUCCCACCAGGAAGUUGCCUCAAGAGACAACAGUCCAUCUACGACCUCAAGUAUGCCCGCUACAAGACUCUCUCCCACCUGGAAAGUUUUUGGCCACUUUUACAACCCAUAAAGGUGCCAGCAGUCACCAACUUGACUGCCCAGUAGAUAAGGCACCAAAGAGAGUAAGCAGAUCCCCCACCUGCUUGCUUCCUCUCCUGUGUGCCAUGCAUGCCACUAUGCCAGCCUCCCCCACAUUAAAAGCACCCACUUUCUGCUCCAAAGCCAAAGCAGCACCCUUAAGGCAGAACCCUAUACUUCUUCCCCUAAGUUAGCUUUGGAAUAAAAAGUCUCUUUCUUUAUACCAGACAUUACUCUCAUUAACUGGACUCUGCAAGCAGCAAGUGACCGAACCUGCAUUUCAGUUACAAUUUUGGUGACCGAUAUGGGGAAGUGCUGUCCGCUCUAGCCAGGUGCCAGGUAGCAUUCCUGAACACACGCCUCCUGGUCCCAAACAGAGGAACAUCUUCGCUCAUCUCAGCCCCGGGGUUGGGGGACAGUGGUAUUCUGGACGGCCAUCUCCCUGCCCCUCCUCACAGCACCUGACCUUCUCAGUUCAUCUGGAUAAACCUGCUGUGCUUCCUGUCCAGGGAGUGAGAAGUGAGGCGCUCCUGAAAGGCUGAGCCAAAGUCUAGUAACUGUGGCUGGAAGGCUCGUGAGUUUCUUUUUGGUCACUUUACCUUUUUUUCUUCCUCUCCUUUCUUUCUCGCGCCCCGCUUGUGAAUCCCAGCUCCUAUGCAGAGGCCUGCCAGCUUGGCUUUCUCUCUCUUCUUUUCUGCCUUCUUCACGUCUGCUAUUACUAAGCUGCCUGUGCUGAGAUAAGACUCAUUGUUUGCGGACUAGCUAGAAUGUGAACACUGGAAACAAAUUUGAAACUGAAGGAAAAAUGGGCAAAAGAGGUGUUUUUAAAAACCAAACUGCCAUAGACA
Cercocebus atys (sooty mangabey) is the source of this 2384-nucleotide long non-coding RNA. RefSeq lists it as uncharacterized. NCBI's taxonomy places the organism in Eukaryota, Metazoa, Chordata, Mammalia, Primates, Cercopithecidae. The transcript has 3 exons. The record is from RefSeq and is a predicted model, not a curated record.